This 862-nucleotide ribosomal RNA is filed under the name uncultured bacterium. RNAcentral's name for it is "bacterial SSU rRNA". It matches the Rfam family "Bacterial small subunit ribosomal RNA", at positions 1 to 916 of the family's 1533-position model. The record is from RNAcentral.
UUAGAGUUUGAUCCUGGCUCAGAGCGAACGCUGGCGGCAGGCUUACACAUGCAAGUCGAACGCACCUUUCGGGGUGAGUGGCGGACGGGUGAGUAACACGUGGGAACGUGCCCUUAGGUUCGGAAUAACUCAGGGAAACUUGAGCUAAUACCGGAUGUGCCCUUUUGGGGAAAGAUUUAUCGCCUUUGGAGCGGCCCGCGUCGGAUUAGCUAGUUGGUGGGGUAAAGGCCUACCAAGGCUACGAUCCGUAGCUGGUCUGAGAGGAUGGCCAGCCACACUGGGACUGAGACACGGCCCAGACUCCUACGGGAGGCAGCAGUGGGGAAUCUUGCGCAAUGGGCGAAAGCCUGACGCAGCCAUGCCGCGUGGAUGAUGAAGGUCUUAGGAUUGUAAAAUCCUUUCAGCGGGGACGAUAAUGACGGUACCCGCAGAAGAAGCCCCGGCUAACUUCGUGCCAGCAGCCGCGGUAAUACGAAGGGGGCUAGCGUUGCUCGGAUUUACUGGGCGUAAAGGGCGCGUAGGCGGACAGUUAAGUCGGGGGUGAAAGCCCGGGGCUCAACCUCGGAAUUGCCUUCGAUACUGGCUGUCUUGAGUACGGGAGAGGUGUGUGGAACUCCGAGUGUAGAGGUGAGAUUCGUAGAUAUUCGGAAGAACACCAGUGGCGAAGGCGACACACUGGCCCGUUACUGACGCUGAGGCGCGAAAGCGUGGGGAGCAAACAGGAUUAGAUACCCUGGUAGUCCACGCUGUAAACGAUGAGUGCUAGUUGUCGGGCGGCAUGCCGUUCGGUGACGCAGCUAACGCAUUAAGCACUCCGCCUGGGGAGUACGGUCGCAAGAUUAAAACUCAAAGGAAUUGACGG